RNAcentral lists this microRNA precursor (125 nucleotides) under Myotis lucifugus (little brown bat). Its description in RNAcentral is "mir-9193 microRNA precursor family". It matches the Rfam family "mir-9193 microRNA precursor family". The record is from Rfam by way of RNAcentral. Lineage: Eukaryota; Metazoa; Chordata; Mammalia; Chiroptera; Vespertilionidae.
CUUGCACCGGUGGGGUCCUUCGGCCUGGCCUGCAGGGAUUGGGCCGAAACUGGCAGUCCGACAUCCCCCUAGGGGUCCCGGGUUGAGAGGGUGCAGGCCAGGCUGAGGGACCCCACCGGUGCACG